RNAcentral lists this ribosomal RNA (317 nucleotides) under Anelosimus decaryi. Its description in RNAcentral is "partial 16S ribosomal RNA". The record is from RNAcentral. Lineage: Eukaryota; Metazoa; Arthropoda; Arachnida; Araneae; Theridiidae.
UUUGUUUCCUAAUUAGAAACUAGAAUGAAAGGUUUAACAUUUUAAUUAUUUUAUUAAUUAUUUAUAUAAAUUUAUACUAAACAUAAAAAUAUGUUUAUGGUCUAAAAAGACGAUAAGACCCUAUUAAAUUUUACUUAAUGUUUAACUGGGGCAGUUAUUUAAUUAAUACUUUAAACACAUAAAAUAAAUACCUAAUAUAAAUAUAUUAUAAUCAAAUUACUAUAGGGAUAACAGCGUUAUAUUAUUUAAAAGUUCAUAUUUAUAAUAAUGAUUGCGACCUCGAUGUUGAAUUAUAUUUCUAUUAUUAACGCAACAGU